This 864-nucleotide long non-coding RNA is filed under the name Olea europaea subsp. europaea. Lineage: Eukaryota; Viridiplantae; Streptophyta; Magnoliopsida; Lamiales; Oleaceae. The record is from RNAcentral.
GAACUUUGCUCUCACGUUUCUCUUUUUCUUUUUUUCCAUCAUUGGUGUUACUUCGGCCCUGGUGCCAAGCCCCUCCCAUAACUAGGCAGCCAGUCCAUUUUGACAUCGCGAACACCAAUAACCAGAGAGAUUUUCCAACUUGAGCUUUUCAUGUUAAAUAGAAAUCUGUUAAAACGAGAGCAGUAUGCUACUACUGGAGAAUGGUUAUGAAUAGAUCAGACUAUGGAUAGAGGCAUAGAGCAUUUCAAUGUAUAAAAGAACAUGACCACAAUAAAUUGGAAAUAUGCUAAAUUCCUGGCCUGCAAAAGCAUUAGGACACAAGGUUUUAGUUUAAAUGCAUUCAUUUUUAGUUAAGGAUUGAAAUUACUCUUUCAUUUUGCAGGCACUGCAUUGUAGUCCAUAUAAAGAUUAGACGACAAGUGCAGAAGCCUGGGUUGAACAUUGGCCUUGAACAGUUCAACCAAGGAAAUGUAGAGCUCAUCAUUCUGUGCAUGACAACUACGGAAUGUAUAUUGCAACACACUAGCUAGCUACCACAUUAGCGUCCGUAUAAUUAACCACCGAUGCUAAUGAAUUACGAUUCUUGAAUGUAACUGAACUGUUAACCUUUGUUCUCCUCUUUUAUCCAUUGCACUUUGGAGUAUUUGCUUCAUUUCAAACGUAUAGUUUAUUUCUUCUCUUCAUUUUACACCUUGGCCGAUUAUGUUUGCUUCUCUCGUCUCUUAUGGAGUGCCAAGUUUGAACAUCAGCUGUGUUUGCUUCGUAUAGAAGAUUUUUCUUAAAAAGUUACGUUGAAUUUGCUUUUUCAAAAAGUUCUUUUAAAUCACUUUCAAAAAAUAUUCUAGCAUAUUUAUUUAAUGCCCG